ACGGGAGGCAGCAGUGGGGGAUAUUGCACAAUGGAGGAAACUCUGAUGCAGCAACGCCGCGUGAGGGAAGAAGGUUUUCGGAUUGUAAACCUCUGUUUUUAGUGAAGAAACAAAUGACGGUAGCUAAAGAGGAAGCCACGGCUAACUACGUGCCAGCAGCCGCGGUAAUACGUAGGUGGCAAGCGUUGUCCGGAUUUACUGGGUGUAAAGGGUGCGCAGGCGGGACUGCAAGUUGGAUGUGAAAAUCCGAGGCUCAACCUCGGAACUGCAUCCAAAACUGUGGUUCUUGAGUGGAGCAGAGGUAAGCGGAAUUCCGAGUGUAGCGGUGAAAUGCGUAGAUAUUCGGAGGAACACCAGUGGCGAAGGCGGCUUACUGGGCUCUAACUGACGCUGAGGCACGAAAGUGUGGGUAGCAAACAGGAUUAGAUACCCGGUA
Molecule: ribosomal RNA, 436 nt
Filed under: uncultured Anaerofilum sp.
Lineage: Bacteria; Bacillati; Bacillota; Clostridia; Eubacteriales; Oscillospiraceae
Description: partial 16S ribosomal RNA
Rfam family: Bacterial small subunit ribosomal RNA
Source: RNAcentral